GACGAACGCUGGCGGCGUGCUUAACACAUGCAAGUCGAACGCGCCUGUCCUCUGGGUUUCUGGGGGGUGGGUGAGUGGCGAACGGGUGAGUAACACGUGAGUAACCUGCCCCCUUCUUCGGGAUAACGGUCUGAAAGGGCUGCUAAUACCGGGUAUUCACUGGUCUCCGCAUGGGGUCUGGUGGAAAGGUUUUUUUCUGGUGGGGGAUGGGCUCGCGGCCUAUCAGCUUGUUGGUGGGGUGAUGGCCCACCAAGGCUUUGACGGGUAGCCGACCUGAGAGGGUGACCGGUCACAUUGGGACUGAGAUACGGCCCAGACUCCUACGGGAGGCAGCAGUGGGGAAUAUUGCACAAUGGGCGCAAGCCUGAUGCAGCGACGCCGCGUGAGGGAUGGAGGCCUUCGGGUUGUGAACCUCUUUCGCCCGUGGUCAAGCCGCGACGUGGGUCGUGGUGAGGGUAGUGGGUAAAGAAGCGCCGGCUAACUACGUG
RNAcentral lists this ribosomal RNA (488 nucleotides) under uncultured bacterium. Its description in RNAcentral is "partial 16S ribosomal RNA". It matches the Rfam family "Bacterial small subunit ribosomal RNA", at positions 28 to 507 of the family's 1533-position model. The record is from RNAcentral.